This 221-nucleotide long non-coding RNA is filed under the name Homo sapiens (human). RNAcentral's name for it is "HSALNT0180763". The record is from RNAcentral. Lineage: Eukaryota; Metazoa; Chordata; Mammalia; Primates; Hominidae.
GACAGUUCUUUUAUGGCAAAAUCAAAAGAUUUCUACUAAAGAAGACUCUGGGAGAAGGCCAGCACGAUUUUACAUUGGAGAUUCCUCUUCAGCUCUGAGGAAAGAAAAACGAUAGAGAUGGAGCUAGGCAGCAAGAAGCAGAUGGAAAUGGGUAGAGAGAAGUAAUAUGUUCUCUUCCUGAGUGGAAAAUGUUGGGUAAGUUGCUCUAAUGCCCUGGCAAG